Molecule: ribosomal RNA, 410 nt
Filed under: uncultured Bifidobacterium sp.
Lineage: Bacteria; Bacillati; Actinomycetota; Actinomycetes; Bifidobacteriales; Bifidobacteriaceae
Description: bacterial SSU rRNA
Rfam family: Bacterial small subunit ribosomal RNA
Source: RNAcentral
GGGAUGGGGUCGCGUCCUAUCAGCUUGAUGGCGGGGUAACGGCCCACCAUGGCUUCGACGGGUAGCCGGCCUGAGAGGGCGACCGGCCACAUUGGGACUGAGAUACGGCCCAGACUCCUACGGGAGGCAGCAGUGGGGAAUAUUGCACAAUGGGCGCAAGCCUGAUGCAGCGACGCCGCGUGCGGGAUGACGGCCUUCGGGUUGUAAACCGCUUUUGACUGGGAGCAAGCCCUUCGGGGUGAGUGUACCUUUCGAAUAAGCACCGGCUAACUACGUGCCAGCAGCCGCGGUAAUACGUAGGGUGCAAGCGUUAUCCGGAAUUAUUGGGCGUAAAGGGCUCGUAGGCGGUUCGUCGCGUCCGGUGUGAAAGUCCAUCGCUUAACGGUGGAUCCGCGCCGGGUACGGGCGGG